RNAcentral lists this ribosomal RNA (500 nucleotides) under uncultured bacterium. RNAcentral describes it as "bacterial SSU rRNA". It matches the Rfam family "Bacterial small subunit ribosomal RNA", at positions 1014 to 1514 of the family's 1533-position model. The record is from RNAcentral.
UUCUUCGGACCACUGGUGAGGUGCUGCAUGGCUGUCGUCAGUUCGUGUCGUGAGAUGUUGGGUUAAGUCCCGCAACGAACGCAACCCCUAUCGCUAGUUACCAGCACGUCAUGGUGGGGACUCGAGCGUGACUGCCUGCGCAAGCAGAGAGGAAGGUGGGGAUGACGUCAAGUCAUCAUGGCCCUUACGCCCAGGGCUGCACACGUGCUACAAUGUCCGGUACAGAGGGCAGCUACGUCGUGAGGCGAUGCCAAUCUUAAAAGCCGGUCUCAGUUCGGAUCGGAGUCUGCAACUCGACUCCGUGAAGUCGGAAUCGCUAGUAAUCGCGUAUCAGCAACGACGCGGUGAAUACGUUCCCGGGCCUUGUACACACCGCCCGUCAAGCCAUGGAAGCUGGGGGCACCCGAAGUCCGUGACCCGACCCGUGAGGGAGGGAGCGGCCGAAGGUGAACUCAGUGACUGGGGCUUAAGUCGUAACAAGGUAGCCGUAUUCGGAAGGG